This 74-nucleotide transfer RNA is filed under the name Spirochaetaceae bacterium. RNAcentral describes it as "tRNA-Arg". It matches the Rfam family "tRNA". From Rfam's summary of the family: Transfer RNA (tRNA) molecules are approximately 80 nucleotides in length. Lineage: Bacteria; Pseudomonadati; Spirochaetota; Spirochaetia; Spirochaetales; Spirochaetaceae. RNAcentral also lists the same sequence under 3 other names. The record is from RNAcentral.
GACCCAGUAGCUCAGCAGGAUAGAGCGGCUGCCUCCUAAGCAGCAGGUCGCCCGUUCGAAUCGGGCCUGGGCCA